ACAGUAUAUCCCAAUACUCGACCACUUCUUUCUUCAUAUCCUCAAUAUUUCUAAGUCAUUUUUGGUUUACUCUGUCCUUCAUUAGUCCCCACACAUUCUCAAUAGGGUUACGAUCUGGGCUGUGGCUGGGCCAGUCUAAAGCUUGAACAUUUUCGUCUGACAACCACUGUUUUGUGUAGCCUGCAUAGUGU
This is a long non-coding RNA of Haliotis rubra (blacklip abalone), 191 nucleotides long. RefSeq lists it as uncharacterized. The transcript has 3 exons. NCBI's taxonomy places the organism in Eukaryota, Metazoa, Mollusca, Gastropoda, Lepetellida, Haliotidae. The record is from RefSeq and is a predicted model, not a curated record.